ACGCGAGCUGGAACAGAUGCGGGAACAAGAGAAGCGAACGGGGUUUAGGGUUCAUCGGAUCGCCGGCUAGGGUUAGGGUUUUAGGGUUUUUCGAUUUGGGUAUUAGCUUAGGGAUUUAGAGUUUCGUGCUGAUAAUGUGUUAUAAAAGUAAUGGAAAAGUCUCUCUUUAUUCGUAACAUAGAGGUUCCUUAUAUAGGAGAUUACACCGUCAUAGAUAAAUGGAAAGAUUAUAAAUCAUAAUCUCUUGGUUAUGAACCAUCCAUAAUCCGGUUCAUAA
RNAcentral lists this long non-coding RNA (277 nucleotides) under Brassica napus (rape). RNAcentral describes it as "long non-coding RNA (BNAP_LNC021511)". The record is from RNAcentral. Lineage: Eukaryota; Viridiplantae; Streptophyta; Magnoliopsida; Brassicales; Brassicaceae.